AGGCUUAACACAUGCAAGUCGAGGGGCAGCACAGGUAGCAAUACCGGGUGGCGACCGGCGCACGGGUGAGUAACGCGUAUGCAACUUACCUAUCAGAGGGGGAUAACCCGGCGAAAGUCGGACUAAUACCGCAUGAAGCAGGGGCCCCGCAUGGGGAUAUUUGCUAAAGAUUCAUCGCUGAUAGAUAGGCAUGCGUUCCAUUAGGCAGUUGGCGGGGUAACGGCCCACCAAACCGACGAUGGAUAGGGGUUCUGAGAGGAAGGUCCCCCACAUUGGUACUGAGACACGGACCAAACUCCUACGGGAGGCAGCAGUGAGGAAUAUUGGUCAAUGGCCGAGAGGCUGAACCAGCCAAGUCGCGUGAGGGAUGAAGGUUCUAUGGAUCGUAAACCUCUUUUAUAAGGGAAUAAAGUGCGGGACGUGUCCCGUUUUGUAUGUACCUUAUGAAUAAGGAUCGGCUAACUCCGUGCCAGCAGCCGCGGUAAUACGGAGGAUCCGAGCGUUAUCUGGAUUUAUUGGGUUUAAAGGGUGCGUAGGCGGCCUUUUAAGUCAGCGGUGAAAGUCUGUGGCUCAACCAUAGAAUUGCCGUUGAAACUGGGGGGCUUGAGUAUGUUUGAGGCAGGCGGAAUGCGUGGUGUAGCGGUGAAAUGCAUAGAUAUCACGCAGAACCCCGAUUGCGAAGGCAGCCUGCCAAGCCAUUACUGACGCUGAUGCACGAAAGCGUGGGGAUCAAACAGGAUUAGAUACCCUGGUAGUCCACGCAGUAAACGAUGAUCACUAGCUGUUUGCGACACACUGUAAGCGGCACAGCGAAAGCGUUAAGUGAUCCACCUGGGGAGUACGCCGGCAACGGUGAAACUCAAAGGAAUUGACGGGGGCCCGCACAAGCGGAGGAACAUGUGGUUUAAUUCGAUGAUACGCGAGGAACCUUACCCGGGUUUGAACGCAUUCGGACCGAGGUGGAAACACCUUUUCUAGCAAUAGCCGUUUGCGAGGUGCUGCAUGGUUGUCGUCAGCUCGUGCCGUGAGGUGUCGGCUUAAGUGCCAUAACGAGCGCAACCCUUGCCACUAGUUACUAACAGGUAAAGCUGAGGACUCUGGUGGGACUGCCAGCGUAAGCUGCGAGGAAGGCGGGGAUGACGUCAAAUCAGCACGGCCCUUACAUCCGGGGCGACACACGCGUUACAAUGGCGUGGACAAAGGGAAGCCACCUGGCGACAGGGAGCGAAUCCCCAAACCACGUCUCAGUUCGGAUCGGAGUCUGCAACCCGACUCCGUGAAGCUGGAUUCGCUAGUAAUCGCGCAUCAGCCAUGGCGCGGUGAAUACGUUCCCGGGCCUUGUACACACCGCCCGUCAAGCCAUGGGAGCCGGGGGUACCUGAAGUCCGUAACCGCGAGGAUCGGCCUAGGGUAAAACUGGUGACUGGGGCUAAGUCG
RNAcentral lists this ribosomal RNA (1437 nucleotides) under uncultured organism. RNAcentral describes it as "SSU rRNA". It matches the Rfam family "Bacterial small subunit ribosomal RNA". The record is from RNAcentral.